CCUACGGGAGGCAGCAGUGGGGAAUAUUGCACAAUGGGGGAAACCCUGAAGCAGCGACGCCGCGUGAGUGAAGAAGUAUUUCGGUAUGUAAAGCUCUAUUAGCAGGGAAGAUAAUGACGGUACCUGACUAAGAAGCCCCGGCUAAAUACGUGCCAGCAGCCGCGGUAUUACGUAGGGGGCAAGCGUUAUACGGAUUUACUGGGUGUAAAGGGUGCGUAGGUGGCUGGGCAAGUCAGAGGUGAAAGCUCGGGGCUCAACCCCGGUACUGCCUUUGAAACUGUCCAGCUGGAGUGCAGGAGAGGUAGGCGGAAUGCCUGGUGUAGCGGUGAAAUGCAUAGAUAUUACGAAGAACACCGAUGGCGAAGGCAGCUUACUGGACUAUAACUGACACUGAAGCACGAAAGCGUGGGGAGCAAACAGGAUUAGAUACCCGUGUAGUC
This 440-nucleotide ribosomal RNA is filed under the name uncultured bacterium. RNAcentral describes it as "partial 16S ribosomal RNA". It matches the Rfam family "Bacterial small subunit ribosomal RNA", at positions 338 to 795 of the family's 1533-position model. The record is from RNAcentral.